CCCCUAGACGUUCUGGGCUGCACGCGCGCUACAAUAAUACGCACAGCGAGUAUCACCGAGCUCGAAAGGGCAAGGUAAACAAUAGCAAAGGUACUGUAAUGGUUAUAGAUCCUUGUAAUUAUUGAUCUUCAACGAGGAAUUCCUAGUAAGUAUGUGUCAUCAUCACGCACUGAUUACGUCCCUGCCCUUUGUACACACCGCCCGUCGCUCCUACCGAUUGGGUGAGCCGAUGAAACUCUCGGAUGUAGGCUAUUCAUAGCCCGCAGAAGAGAUUUGAAUCGUAGCGCUUAGAGGAAGGAGAAGUCGUAACA
This 311-nucleotide ribosomal RNA is filed under the name uncultured eukaryote. Its description in RNAcentral is "partial 18S ribosomal RNA". It matches the Rfam family "Eukaryotic small subunit ribosomal RNA", at positions 1470 to 1796 of the family's 1831-position model. The record is from RNAcentral.